UACGAGGGGAGCAAGCGUUGUUCGGAAUUACUGGGCGUAAAGCGCGUGUAGGCGGCCCUGCAAGUCGGGUGUGAAAUCCCACGGCUCAACCGUGGAAGUGCACUCGAAACUGCAGGGCUAGAGUCCUGGAGAGGAAGGUGGAAUGCUUGGUGUAGAGGUGAAAUUCGUAGAUAUCAAGCGGAACACCGGUGGCGAAGGCGGCCUUCUGGACAGUGACUGACGCUGAGACGCGAAAGCGUGGGGAGCAAACAGG
Molecule: ribosomal RNA, 253 nt
Filed under: uncultured bacterium
Lineage: Bacteria
Description: partial 16S ribosomal RNA
Rfam family: Bacterial small subunit ribosomal RNA
Source: RNAcentral